This is a long non-coding RNA of Uranotaenia lowii, 610 nucleotides long. RefSeq lists it as uncharacterized. The record is from RefSeq and is a predicted model, not a curated record. The transcript has 3 exons. Lineage: Eukaryota; Metazoa; Arthropoda; Insecta; Diptera; Culicidae.
AAAUUUAGGACGUAUAAUCACUUUCUCAUUUUUGAGUGCAGGUUGGUUUUUGCGUCAUAUUGCGCUGCCGUGCAUUUGCCGUGAUGCAAAACGUCGCAAAAAAAUUGUUCAUCGAGUUGGUUAUACGACGUUGUGCAUCGUCACGAAAAUUUCUCGAGAAGUGAUAAAGUUUACAUGAAAACAAAACGAAACUGUCCACAGGAAUGAUACUAUCGAUUUGGCGAAACACUGCAAAUUGUUGUCAGAGGAAACCAAAACAAUUAAAAGCGAUGAAUGCUUUUAGACAUUCCUCGAACAGCCAGUGGAGUCACAGGUAUUGCCCGGUAAAGUCCUGGUGGAUUCCCAAUAGCCAUUUCCGCCACGCAGUAAUUCCAGAUUGCGCCAGAUGAAGAUUUGCGUGGAUUUAUUGGAUGAAAUUAUUUAUAAAUGUAUUUCUUUAAUCAACUCCGAAAGAAUUAUGGAAAAUUUGGGCGAAUCAAAUCAGUUUUUGCAAUCCAUCUUAUCGAUUGCCAAAAAGACGUUUACGCCAAACGAGAAAUGCAUUAAGUCACAGAUUUGUCCAACAAUAAUAAUAUGAGAAUUGAAAAUGUGAUUCGAAACUGAAACAUCG